AUUGAACGCUGGCGGCAUGCCUUACACAUGCAAGUCGAACGGCAGCGCGGGGGCAACCCUGGCGGCGAGUGGCGAACGGGUGAGUAAUAUAUCGGAACGUACCCAAGAGUGGGGGAUAACGUAGCGAAAGUUACGCUAAUACCGCAUACGAUCUAAGGAUGAAAGCAGGGGACCGCAAGGCCUUGUGCUCCUGGAGCGGCCGAUAUCUGAUUAGCUAGUUGGUGGGGUAAAGGCCUACCAAGGCAUCGAUCAGUAGCUGGUCUGAGAGGACGACCAGCCACACUGGGACUGAGACACGGCCCAGACUCCUACGGGAGGCAGCAGUGGGGAAUUUUGGACAAUGGGGGCAACCCUGAUCCAGCAAUGCCGCGUGAGUGAAGAAGGCCUCGG
Molecule: ribosomal RNA, 390 nt
Filed under: uncultured bacterium
Lineage: Bacteria
Description: bacterial SSU rRNA
Rfam family: Bacterial small subunit ribosomal RNA
Source: RNAcentral